GGGCUGUGCGGCUGUGAAAAAUUCCCAAGUGAUCAUAUCUGGAAACCAGUAGGUAAACAAGACAAACUAUCUAUGAAUAUUAUAUAUCUCCCCAAAAGAGGUUUGGUUUGUGAAAUCAGCUGUAUUUACAAAGUACAACCUUUAUAUUUCGGUUGUUGGAUGCUUACUUAGAUAUAGUGAACUUAUGUACAAACAUAUGAAGAUACGGUAUGAUUGCCAAUGAGACGACUGUCAACCAUACACCAAAUGACUUAGAUGUAAGCAACAACUGAUAAAUAAGUCAGACUCUCCUGCAUUCACUAAUACUGCAUUAGUGUUGGUUACCAAAUAUUAUUUUUUGGAACAGAAACUGCUAACCCUUACGGAGCACAUGAGUUCAUAUCUACAGGUGAUGGGGGCAUUAGUGUGGGCAACCAUUAUUCUCUAUUGGAACAGAAACUGCUAACCCUCACGGAGCACCUGAGUUCAUAUCUACAGCUGGUGGGGGCAAAAGUGUUGGUUACCAAAUAUUCUCUAUUGGAACAGAAACUGCUAACCCUUACGGAGGACCUGAGUUUAUAUCUACAGUUGGUGGGGGCAUUAGUGGUGGUUACCAAAUAUUCUCUUUUGGAACAGAGUCUGCUAACCCUUACGGAGCACCUGAGUUCAUAUCUACAGCUGGUGGGGGCAUUAGUGUGGGUAAACACAUAUUCCUGUUUGGAACAGAAACUGCUAACCCUCACGGAGUACCUGAGUUCAUAUCUACAGCUGGGUGGGGGCAUUAGUGGUGGUUACCAAAUAUUCUCUUUUGGAACAGAGUCUGCUUACCCUUACGGAGCACCUGAGUUCAUAUCUACAGCUGGUGGGGGCAUUAGUGUGGGUAAACACAUAUUCCCUGUUGGAACAGAAACUGCUAACCCUCACGGAGCACCUGAGUUCAUAUCUACAGUUGGUGGGGGCAUUAGUGAUGGUUACCAAAUAUUUUCUUUUGGAACAGAGUCUGCUAACCCUUACGGAGAACCUGAGUUCAUAUCUACAGCUGGUGGGGGCAUUAGUGUUGAUAACCAAAUAUUCUCUAUUGGAACAGAAACUGCUAACCCUCUCGGAGCACCUGAGUUCAUAUCUACAGCUGGUGGGGGCAUUAGUGGUGGUUACCAAAUAUUCUCUAUUGGAACAGAAACUGCUAACCCUCACGGAGCACCUGAGUUCAUAUCUACAGCUGGUGGGGGCAAAAGUGUUGGUUACCAAAUAUUCUCUAUUGGAACCAUCUUCGCUAGCCAAGGGUUACGAUCCACUCCCUUUCUUUUUUUGAAGAGAAAGGGAGUGGAUUGUAACCCUUGGCUAGCGAAGAUGUAUUGGAACAGAAACUGCUAACCCUUACGGAGCAC
RNAcentral lists this long non-coding RNA (1367 nucleotides) under Mytilus galloprovincialis (Mediterranean mussel). The record is from RNAcentral. Lineage: Eukaryota; Metazoa; Mollusca; Bivalvia; Mytilida; Mytilidae.